UUGAAAUACUGGUUCCCAUACAAUCACCGAAGUUAAGCAAUGUCGAACCUGGUUAGUACUUAGAUGAGUGACCACUUG
Molecule: non-coding RNA, 78 nt
Organism: Acanthosepion pharaonis
Lineage: Eukaryota; Metazoa; Mollusca; Cephalopoda; Sepiida; Sepiidae
Source: the annotation of a GenBank genome assembly